AGGAAGCAAAAAAUAAAUAUAACAAUUGAUCCACUGAAUUAUUCUAGUGGAGAAAAAUGCAGUAAGAUAAUUUUAUAAAUAUUCAAUAACCACAACAACAGAUGAUUGUAAAUAGAUAUCAUAAAAUAUUUCAACAACACAGACUAAAUAUUAUUCAUUUUUCACCUGAAACACAUGAUGCAUUAAUCCCCCCCUGAAAUUUCUUGAGGAUAGCUAAGUUUUAAAUACAUCAUAACAUGUGUAUAAUGCUUUACAUUUCUUUUUAUUUUUUACAGUUUUUAAAUGCUUAACAUUCACCCAGUGUUUGCUUUGUCAAUGAAACAUUAUUAGUGAACUGUAUAGUUUCCACAAAACAAACCAUAAUAACACCAAUAGAAUUUUAGAUUGAGUGGGAAUUAUCUUGCCCAUUUUUUUUCUUAGCAUUGACUAACAUGUAUGGUAGUUGGCACACCUUUAUGAACUCAAUGAUACACAACCCUUAAGCUAAAUUUGAUUAUAUAGUUACUUUCUGUAAAACUGAUGUUGAAUGCACUUUUAAAAAGAAAGAUUUCUCAAGUACAAUUGAAUAGGAUGGUAGUUUAUUAAAGGAGUUGCAUAAUGUGUGAGCACUUUUAAAUCUGGCUGUUUCAUGAUACUUGAAAACUUGAAAGUUGUAAACGACUGGGGAUAUGUAAACACAACAAUAUGUGUGUUCUUAUUUCAUGUAUUUUAUAUUUUGUAUUUUAUUAUAUUUUAGAUUCCUUCUUUUUAAAAGUGCAUUCGUUAUCAGUCUUACAGGAAGUAGAUGUUUUACAGAUGUGGUCACAUUUUACAUCUUAUAACUGUUAUGUUGCCUCUUUACUAUGGAGUCAUUCUGUUUAGUAGGACCCAUGUCAAAUGUGACAGAAAUAUUUGCUGAAUGAAGAGACAGGUACACAGAUAAGGUGUUUUAAUAUUUUGAUUUUUCCCCUGAUUACUCUAUAGACAAAUGAUAGGUAAAAAAAAAGCCCUUAAUUACUAAACCUCAGUAAUAAUCAUCCUAUUGUGGUAUGGAACCUUGUGCUUACAUUUCAUAGAAAUCCAUACACUUUAACUCACGUUGUUGUCUGUGAACCAAAAUGUCUUUAAAUAAAGAUGCAGACAUUGACAUAGCUUAAAACGAAGGCAUUGAUUUUGCAACCUUUAAAAAUGAAAUAAUAAAUUAUUUUUGUUGAUAACGUAUAAAAAAUAUAAUUUAAAUACAAUAUAUAAUCUAUAUACAAAAUAUGAUCUAUAUCAGAUAAAACUCAUUAUUCAUCCUAUUAGUGUAAUUGACAUAUAUACAAUUAACAAAUGAAACUAGAGGCUCUAAAGAGCCUGUGUAGCUCACCUUGGUCUAUGUGAAUAUUAAACAAAGGACGCAGAUGGAUUCAUGACAAAAUUUUGUUUUGGUGACGGUGAUGUGUUUGUACAUCUUACUUUACUGAACAUUCUUGCUGCUUACAAUUAUCUCUAUCUAUAAUGAACUUGGCCCAGUAGUUUCAGAGGAGAAGAUUAUUGUAAAAGAUUACUAAGAUUUACGAAAAAUGGUUAAAAAUUGACUAUAAAGGGCAAUAACUCCUAAAGGGGUCAACUGACCAUUUCGGUCAUGUUGACUUAUUUGUAGAUCUUACUUUGCUGACAUUUAUUGCUUUUUACAGUUUAUCUCAUCUAUAAUAAUAUUCAAGAUAAUAACCAAAAAACAGCAAAAUUUCCUUAAAAUUACCAAUUCAGGGGCAGCAACCCAACAACGGGUUGUCCGAUUCAUCUGAAAAUUUCAGGGCAGAUAGAUCUUGACCUGAAAAACAAUGUUACUACUUGUCAGAUUUACUUUAAAUGCUUUGGUUUUUGAGUUAUAAGCCAAAAACUGCAUUUUACCCCUAUGUUCUAUUUUUAGCCAUGGCGGCCAUCUUGGUUGGUUGGCCGGGUCACGCCACACAUUUUUUAAACUAGAUACCCCAAUGAUGAUUGUGGCCAAGUUUGGUUUCAUUUGGCCCAGUAGUUUCAGAGGAGAAGAUUUUUGUAAAAAAUUACUAAGAUUUACGAAAAAUGGUUAAAAAUUGACUAUAAAGGGCAGUAACUCCUAAAGGGGCCAACUGACCAUUUUGGUCAUAUUGACUUAUUUGUAAAUCUUACUUUGCUGAACAUUAUUGUUGUUUACAGUUUAUCUCUAUCUAUAAUAAUAUUCAAGAUAAUAACCAAAAACAGCAAAAAUUCCCUAAAAUUACCAAUUCAGGGGCAGCAACCCAACAACAGGUUGUCGGAUUCAUCUGAAAAUUUCAGGGCAGAUAGAUCUUGACCUGAUAAACAUUUUUACCCCAUGUCAGAUUUGCUCUAAAUGCUUUGGUUUUUGAGUUAUAAGCCGAAAACUGCAUUUUACCCCUAUGUUCUAUUUUUAGCCAUGGCGGCCAUCUUGGUUGGUUGGCCGGGUCACGCCACACAUUUUUUAAACUACAUACCCUAAUGAUGAUUGUGGCCAAGUUUGGUUUAAUUUGGCCCAGUAGUUUCAGAGGAGAAGAUUUUUGUAAAAGUUAACGACGACGGACGACGACGACGACGGACGCCAAGUGAUGAGAAAAGCUCACUUGACCCUUUGGGCCAGGUGAGCUAAAAAGUGAUUUUACUGACCAUUAGGUAGUACAUGUAUAGAUGAAAUGUGUGUGAAAAUGUCAUGGAUAAGUGAACUGGUAAAUAUGAGCUAUAUUUAUAUAAAUGUUAUACCUAUACCUUGUACAGCAUGACAUAACAACAAUAAUGAAAUCAGAAUUUUCUUAAAAUUACCAAUUCAGGGGCAGCCACCCAACAAGUUGCCUGAAAGGUCUGAAAAUUUUAGGGCAGAUAGAUCUUGACCAAAUAACAAGAUUUGCUCUACUUGCUUUGGUUUCAGAGAUAUUCACAAAAAAACUGCAUUUUACCGGAUGUACUAUUUUUACCCAUGUCAUCCAUCUUGGUAUGUGGGCGGUGUUAUCAGACACAAUUUUAAAACUAAAUACCCUAAUGAUUAAUGGUGAUGGUUGCAGCCAAGUUUGGUUAAAUUUGUCUUAGUAGUUUCAGAGUAGAAGAUUUUUUAAAAAGAUUACAAAAAUUUACCAAAAAAGUCUCCAAAACAAAGCCCCCAUAACUUGCCAUUCAUAUGGUCCCAUAUUCAUUUGAAAUGGAAUGUCCCAUACAAGAAUAUAUAUGGCUUAGGGGUGGGGAUCUCCACCAUUUACAAG
RNAcentral lists this long non-coding RNA (3212 nucleotides) under Mytilus galloprovincialis (Mediterranean mussel). The record is from RNAcentral. Lineage: Eukaryota; Metazoa; Mollusca; Bivalvia; Mytilida; Mytilidae.